Molecule: ribosomal RNA, 253 nt
Filed under: uncultured bacterium
Lineage: Bacteria
Description: partial 16S ribosomal RNA
Rfam family: Bacterial small subunit ribosomal RNA
Source: RNAcentral
UACGUAGGGAGCAAGCGUUGUCCGGAAUCAUUGGGCGUAAAGCGCGCGUAGGCGGCCCUGUAAGUCCGUUGUGAAAGUCAAAGGCUCAACCUUUGAAAGCCGAUGGAUACUGCAGGGCUAGAGUCCGGAAGAGGCGAGUGGAAUUCCUGGUGUAGCGGUGGAAUGCGCAGAUAUCAGGAAGAACACCCGUGGCGAAGGCGGUUCUCUGGGACGGUACUGACGCUGAGACGCGAAAGCGUGGGGAGCGAACAGG